This 254-nucleotide ribosomal RNA is filed under the name uncultured bacterium. Its description in RNAcentral is "partial 16S ribosomal RNA". It matches the Rfam family "Bacterial small subunit ribosomal RNA", at positions 524 to 776 of the family's 1533-position model. The record is from RNAcentral.
UACGUAGGGUGCAAGCGUUGUCCGGAAUUAUUGGGCGUAAAGGGCUCGUAGGCGGUCCGUCACGUCGGGAGUGAAAACUCCAGGCUCAACUUGGAGACGCCACCCGAUACUGCUCUGACUUGAGUUCGGUAGGGGAGUGGGGAAUUCCUGGUGUAGCGGUGAAAUGCGCAGAUAUCAGGAGGAACACCGGUGGCGAAGGCGCCACUCUGGGCCGAAACUGACGCUGAGGAGCGAAAGCGUGGGUAGCAAACAGG